This 253-nucleotide ribosomal RNA is filed under the name uncultured bacterium. Its description in RNAcentral is "partial 16S ribosomal RNA". It matches the Rfam family "Bacterial small subunit ribosomal RNA", at positions 524 to 776 of the family's 1533-position model. The record is from RNAcentral.
UACGUAGGGGGCUGGCGUUGUCCGGAAUCACUGGGCGUAAAGCGCGCGUAGGUGGCCCUGUAAGUCCGUUGUGAAAGUCAAAGGCUCAACCUUUGAAAGCCGAUGGAUACUGCAGGGCUAGAGUACGGAAGAGGCGAGUGGAAUUCCUGGUGUAGCGGUGGAAUGCGCAGAUAUCAGGAGGAACACCAAUAGCGAAGGCAGCUCGCUGGGACGUUACUGACACUGAGGCGCGAAAGCGUGGGGAGCGAACAGG